AAUGAACGCUGGCGGCAGGCCUAACACAUGCAAGUCGAACGGACUGCGAGGAGCUUGCUCCUCAAAGUUAGUGGCGGACGGGUGAGUAACGCGUGGGUAACCUGCCCUAUGCAGGGGGAUAACGUUUGGAAACGAACGCUAAUACCGCAUAAUCUAGUUGGUUCGCAUGAACUAACUAGCAAAGAUUUAUCGGCAUAGGAUGGACCCGCGUUGGAUUAGCUAGUUGGUGAGAUAACAGCCCACCAAGGCAACGAUACAUAGCCGGCCUGAGAGGGUGAACGGCCACACUGGGACUGAGACACGGCCCAGACUCCUACGGGAGGCAGCAGUGGGGAAUAUUGCACAAUGGGCGCAAGCCUGAUGCAGCGACGCCGCGUGAAGGAUGAAGGUCUUCGGAUCGUAAACUUCUAUCAGCAGGGAAGAAUACCAUGACGGUACCUGACUAAGAAGCCCCGGCUAACUACGUGCCAGCAGCCGCCGUAA
Molecule: ribosomal RNA, 483 nt
Filed under: uncultured bacterium
Lineage: Bacteria
Description: partial 16S ribosomal RNA
Rfam family: Bacterial small subunit ribosomal RNA
Source: RNAcentral